This 92-nucleotide transfer RNA is filed under the name Ochrobactrum sp. P6BSIII. RNAcentral describes it as "tRNA-OTHER". The record is from RNAcentral. Lineage: Bacteria; Pseudomonadati; Pseudomonadota; Alphaproteobacteria; Hyphomicrobiales; Brucellaceae.
AUUUCAAUCGGGAUGUGGAAAACAUCGGAAAACAGUUAAAGGUAGUUUUCGUAAUGAUGGGGUCGCGUGUUCGAGUCACGCAAGCGGCACCA